GGUGGCUCAGUGGUAGAGCCCUUGCCUCGCAUGCACGAGGCCCUGGGUUCGAUUCCUCAGCACCA
This 65-nucleotide transfer RNA is filed under the name Dipodomys ordii (Ord's kangaroo rat). It matches the Rfam family "tRNA". Rfam says of the family: Transfer RNA (tRNA) molecules are approximately 80 nucleotides in length. Their secondary structure includes four short double-helical elements and three loops (D, anti-codon, and T loops). The record is from Rfam by way of RNAcentral. Lineage: Eukaryota; Metazoa; Chordata; Mammalia; Rodentia; Heteromyidae.